GCAGGUGGUGCUCCACAGGAGGGCGAGAGUCAGCCACAGCAGCAUGGCCUUUGGAUGAUUUUAUUUGACAGAGAGCACAAGCAGGGGGAGCAGAAGGCUGAGGGAGAGGGAGAAACAGGCUCCCCGCUGACCAGGGAGCCAGAUGGGGACCCCAUCCCAGGACCCCGGGAUCAUGACCUAAGCCGAAGGCAGACGCCUAACUGACUGAGCCCCCCACACCUCUGAGAAGUGUUUUUUUUAACCUGCUGCACGCCCAGUGCAGAGCUCAACCUGGGGCUCGAAUUCACGAUCCUGAGAUCAAGACCUGAGCUGGGAUCAAGAUAAGUCGGAUGCUUAACCAACGGAGCCACCCAGGCGCCCCAAAAAUGUCAUUUGUAAUGACAUUUGUCAACAACCUAAAUGUCCAGUGUUCAGAAAUUGGUUCAAAGUUGGGUUCUGGUGAUCUUUAACAGUUUCUUCUUUAUGCUCCUUUUGCGGACUUGUAUUUUCUAAGGAGAAUGCAUUAUUUUUAGAAUCACCAUCGUGAGGCUAUUUUUACGAUACAAACAAGUCUGGCUCUGCAACAGAACCACUUCGCCCAUUAUCUUAAACAGCUGUCCGGAGCAGCAAUAUCUGUCAGGCUGGGAAUAAGCCGCCCCGGGCAGGGUGUGUGCAAAUUCUUCAAGCGACCACCUGCUUCUUGCAUGCAAAGGAGACCAGCCUGCGCGGUGGGCAGACCUGUGGAUGCGCGGCUCUGCACCUGGCCAUAAGACUCCAUAAGGGAGAGACCGCCUGGGUGUAGAGAAGGGAUCCCGCAGACACAGAACGGGGCUAAUGGCAACGGGGAGGCGGUGGGCGGGCCGGGGUCCUCAUCCCAUUCAAAUAAGUAUGGGGAAAUAAACAUUGUUUCAGGCCCCUUUAACUCACCUGCAUGUUCAGGUACCUGCUUAUUUAGCAAACAUCCAUUGAGGAACCAAGCACCUGUGCCCUCCACUCCCCUCUAGAGGAGCCCCUGGGCAGCUUGGGCGGGGAGCCCGCAGCUCAGCAGUGCCCCCUUGUGUCAGAGGGGGCACAUAGCAGAGACAGGUGCUGAGAGACCUGAGAUUUUACUGAAGAAAAAUCCACCCCAGGAGAUGAAGGGUAUCAGAUCAGGGAGGGACUGAGGGAACUUCCAGGCCCCGGCUUAGCCCUGGAGACGUGGGGCAGUGUCUUACAAGUCUCUUCUGAAAUUCCCCCAAAACGAGGGUUCCAUGGUCAGGUCAGUUUGGGGAACGCUGGCUAAUUUUGGACCUUGGGUUUGCUGCCCUCACCCCUAACUCUCCUGAUUGUCCUUUUUCUCUUCUUUCCGGGAGUAGAAACGGGACUUCAAUGCCUUAUUUCUACCAUUUUGCCAUCUCUUAUUUAUUCUUCCUUGCAUCCGUCCCCUCAUCCGCCCUCGUCCUAGGCCACCGCUCUUACUGCUGCUUCUGAUUCCUUCCAGGUUUCAGGACCCCUGGGAUGACACCAGUUGCACCCGGGCAGUCCAGGAUAAUCUCCCCAUGUCACGCCGCUGGCUCAGCCACGUCUGCAGAGUGUCUUUUGCCAUACAGAGUGACAUACAGUCUCUGGAGAUCUGGACGCUGACAACCUUGGGCUCGGUUCUGUUCCCCACCGCAGGGACCUCCCUCAGGAAGGGCAGGCGGGAGGUCACCUUCGUAAGCCGUCCUGCCUGAGAAUGACAUCAUGUUGCCCUCCCGCUUGACUGGCUGUUAGCGGGUCUAGAAUUCAAAAACCGAAAUGACCUUUUCUCAGAUAAUCUUGGAAGACCCUGCAGCACCACCUUCUAGCUCCUAUUCCAGAAUCUUGAUAGCAUUCUAUUGUUGCGUUUGUCCGUGCAAGUGGCAGGCAGGAGGCUUGAAUCUGCAUCCACAGAGCCUCCAUAUGCUUGAGAAAACGUCACUUGUCCACACACCCAACCAACCGGAUUCUUGUUUGGUUUUUAAAUACACUUACUGGUUUUGUUUUCUGAUUACAGCACAAUAGGAAAGGGGUAGCGAAGGAAAUCUGGAAAAGGCUAAAAGCGAUGGUAAUCGCCUAGAUGGCCAUCACCUGGGGGUGACAAGUGUUGAUGCUCUGGGGUGUCCCUAGUCGCACCCGACUCUGCACACACUAUGAGAUACACGAAGCUCUGGACUGUGAUUACAAUCAGAACCCGUCAGAAAUACUUCACUUUCUCCAUAAUUAUUCUUGUUUACAUAAGGGAAGUAAUAAAUCUUAGUGGCUACCUAAAAUACCUGCUCUGGCUUCUACAACUUUUUGGAGAAUAAGAAAAAGAAAGGAGAAGGAAAAAUACAUUGUUGGCACCACCCACAAUAUAAGUGAAAAAUAAUCACGAGUCUAAUAUGCUAACAUUUACUCUAUAAAAACUAUGCUUAAAAAGUUUUGACUCCAGGGGCUCCUGGGUGGCUCAGUUGAUUAAGUGUCCGACUCUUGGUCUCAGCUCAGGUCUUGAUCUCAGGGUUGUGAGUUCAAGCCCCACAUUGGGCUCCACACUGGUCGUGGAGCCUACGAAAGGAAGGAAGGAAGGAAAAGAAAAGAAAAAGGAAAGGAAAAAAGAAAAAAAAUCUUGACUCCAAAGUACAGAUGUCCUCGAAGAUGAAAGUUGUAGGUUUUACUGUCUCCAUGAACUCAUCACAAGGGAAGGCCCCUCUCGUGGCUGCUGGGAAAACAUGCGAUGGGACAUUGGUCACUCACGGUCUGGCGACUCCCCACCCAGCCUCCAUCUUCCUCACCCGACAGGCCUGCCAU
Molecule: long non-coding RNA, 2766 nt
Organism: Mirounga angustirostris (Northern elephant seal)
Lineage: Eukaryota; Metazoa; Chordata; Mammalia; Carnivora; Phocidae
Exons: 3
Source: RefSeq, a predicted model, not a curated record